AUUGAACGCUGGCGGCAUGCUUUACACAUGCAAGUCGAACGGUAACAGGCCGCAAGGUGCUGACGAGUGGCGAACAGGUGAGUAAUGCAUCGGAACGUGCCCAGUCGUGGGGGAUAACGCAGCGAAAGCUGCGCUAAUACCGCAUACGAUCUAUGGAUGAAAGCGGGGGACCGUAAGGCCUCGCGCGAUUGGAGCGGCCGAUGUCAGAUUAGGUAGUUGGUGGGGUAAAGGCUCACCAAGCCGACGAUCUGUAGCUGGUCUGAGAGGACGACCAGCCACACUGGGACUGAGACACGGCCCAGACUCCUACGGGAGGCAGCAGUGGGGAAUUUUGGACAAUGGGGGCAACCCUGAUCCAGCAAUGCCGCGUGCAGGAAGAAGGCCUUCGGGUUGUAAACUGCUUUUGUACGGAACGAAACGGCUCUGGUUAAUACCCGGGGCUAAUGACGGUACCGUAAGAAUAAGCACCGGCUAACUGCGUGCCAGCCGCCGCAGUAA
RNAcentral lists this ribosomal RNA (498 nucleotides) under uncultured bacterium. Its description in RNAcentral is "partial 16S ribosomal RNA". It matches the Rfam family "Bacterial small subunit ribosomal RNA", at positions 30 to 523 of the family's 1533-position model. The record is from RNAcentral.